CCUACGGGAGGCUGCAGUCGGGAAUUUUGCCCAAUGGACGAAAGUCUGAGGCAGCAACCCCGCGUGAGGGACGAAGGCCUUCGGGUCGUAAACCUCUUUUCUCAGGGAAGAUUCAAGACGGUACCUGAGGAAUAAGCCACGGCUAACUACGUGCCAGCAGCCGCGGUAAUACGUAGGUGGCGAGCGUUGUCCGGAUUUACUGGGCGUAAAGCGCGCGCAGGCGGCCGGCCAAGUCCGAUGUGAAAGACUCUGGCUCAACUGGAGAACGGCAUCGGAGACUGAUCGGCUUGAAGGCGGGAGAGGGUAGUGGAAUUCCCGGUGUAGUGGUGAAAUGCGUAGAUAUCGGGAGGAACACCAGAGGCGAAAGCGACUACCUGGCCCGUUCUUGACGCUGAGGCGCGAAAGCUAGGGGAGCAAACGGGAUUAGAUACCCCUGUAGU
This 440-nucleotide ribosomal RNA is filed under the name uncultured bacterium. RNAcentral describes it as "bacterial SSU rRNA". It matches the Rfam family "Bacterial small subunit ribosomal RNA", at positions 338 to 794 of the family's 1533-position model. The record is from RNAcentral.